UAAAAUAGAAUUGAAAGAAACUGCGAGAGUUGAACAAAACAAAAUUUCAUUUACUUUCAAAAAAGAGCGACGCCAAUUUUUUUCUCUUUUCUUUUCUCUUUUUUUUAUCUAAAAGAAAUAAUAAUAUGAUUUUUCUUUCUUAUUUUCUUUUCUUUUUCUAUAUUUUUUUCUUCAAUUUUUUCUUAAUAUUUUUCCUGCCAACUUUUAAAAUAUCACAACCUAACUAUACUAAUUCAAUCUCAC
This 243-nucleotide long non-coding RNA is filed under the name Lathyrus oleraceus (garden pea). RNAcentral's name for it is "Pisum sativum (pea) long non-coding RNA (PSAT_LNC010086)". Lineage: Eukaryota; Viridiplantae; Streptophyta; Magnoliopsida; Fabales; Fabaceae. The record is from RNAcentral.